UACGUAGGGGGCAAGCGUUAUCCGGAUUUACUGGGUGUAAAGGGAGCGUAGACGGCUGUGCAAGUCUGGAGUGAAAGGCAUGGGCUCAACCUGUGGACUGCUUUGGAAACUGUGCGGCUUGAGUGUCGGAGAGGCAAGUGGAAUUCCUAGUGUAGCGGUGAAAUGCGUAGAUAUUAGGAGGAACACCAGUGGCGAAGGCAGCCUGCCGCAGCGUUACUGACGCUGAAGCUCGAAAGCGCGGGUAUCGAACAGG
RNAcentral lists this ribosomal RNA (253 nucleotides) under uncultured Lachnospiraceae bacterium. Its description in RNAcentral is "partial 16S ribosomal RNA". It matches the Rfam family "Bacterial small subunit ribosomal RNA", at positions 524 to 776 of the family's 1533-position model. Lineage: Bacteria; Bacillati; Bacillota; Clostridia; Lachnospirales; Lachnospiraceae. The record is from RNAcentral.